GAUAUUUGGUUCCAAUUAGGAGGAACAUGCCAUACCUAAUAAAACACUGUGGACAGAGAAAACAAACAGUAGUGUAAAAAUGAGCCACAAAUCUGCUAUGUUAAUAAAUCUAACAAAAAUUUAGUGUCUGACAUUCACCACCUAAUUGUCUGUGCUACUCCUGGAACCAAUUACUAAGCUCCGGAAAUUAUGAAAUCCUUAUUAUCAAAGUAAUAUGAAGAAUUCAGACAUUUAAAGUAAGAUCAAUGGUUACAACAGGGCUUUUCAGUAGGUGCAGUGAAGGGAAAUGCUCUAGAAGCCACUGAUUCCUUUCAACUUCCCCUUUGCUUUUAUGUCUCUGCUAUUCCCUGUAAUCCUCUAAUAUGCCACAUCCAGUUAUAAAGCUCAGAGAAAACAUUCUAACUUGAGGGUACUGAUCAGUGAUUCAGUUUCUUCUCUUACAGGCAACUCUACCUCAUACAGCAGCACGAAGUCAUUCAUACAGUCCCUAGAUCAAGAACUGGUAAAUAUGGUCAAUUAGGAAGAAGUUUUAUAUUUUUAUGAUUUUUAGACAACAUUAUGGUUCUAACUUUUAAAAUUCUUGUUUCUAACAAAUGUCAUUUAACUAUAGCUAAUGAGUCUCCCAAGUAAGAGCAGAUGAUAAUAGAGCUAAUAUACAAUAAGUAAAGGGAUACACAGUGUUAUAGCUCAAAAGUGUUAGUAAUUUACUUGAAUCUGAAAAACAUCAGAAAGAAGAAAAAGUUAGUUCAACUGAGAGCUGCCAAAAUAGUCAUCUUAUGAGUCGAUGUCUGGCCAUAAUUUUAUCUCAACAAAAUAAAGGCUUUUGUGAUAUGAUUUAUCAUCUAAUAUUGAUUACUAAAUGCAAAGAAGUUCAACUUUAUUUAUUCAAGCAAAGGACAAUUUAAUUCACAACUGUUUGCUUGAAUCUCAUUUAAAAGUUUUAAAGUCAUGAAUAAGGUUUUAAAGUUAUUAAUGUACCUAUUUAAUUUUAUGCUUGGUAUGAAGUCAUCUGUAACUUUCACAGAAUAUUAACCAUAAUCACCUCUGAAGCACUGCAGCACUCAGUCAUUUCUUCACCUCUCAGGUCUAGAGGAACCUUGGUUGGUUAGGUAGAAUUAGUCAUUCACUCUGAAUACCCUCUGGGACUACAUGAUUAUAAUCCCCAAGAUUUGAAAAAGAAGCUAUCUGGGUGUCAAAGACACUUUAGUUGUCAAGGGGCGAUCCUUAGCAGGAUCACAAAUGAAUUCAAAAAUCAGAUUGGACAAAUCAGAAUGGAUACAAGAAGAUAACAAAUGCUUGACUGGCUAUUCAGGUUCCCAAGCGGACAGAAGACUUGAAGUGGCAGCCAGGGCAGGCAAUGCCACCUACUGGUCAGCCAAGGUAGAAAAAAGAAAUAGCCUAGUGAAUUAACUUCAGCCAUACUAGGCCAUUUGGUGUUGUGACACAGUGCAAAAUCUCCUUCUAAUUAGUGAAAUAAACAUCAGAUCAUCUGCAAUAACCUUUCUGGAAUAUAGCUACUUAAUUUUAAAAGAAUAAACCAAAGUGAUUAUGUUUAUCAAAAAAGUCGAAAAGGAGAACCACAGACACAUUCCAUAGGAUUUCAGAAUGAGCCCUCUUUAAAAUGCCACUGUCUCUAUUUCAGUCUAUCUUCCUAUUUCAGAAUUUCCCUGGACCUCAUUCAAAUUGGAAUUCAAUAAGGAUGUCCCCAUUACAAAUGAAUAUUUGAUUCUCUGGAAAGGAACAUGAUUGAUUUCAUUUUUUAAAUCAACACAGUUACAGUCUGAGUUCAAUAUUGAGGGAAGCCUCAUGAGUAUUCCUUAUUCAUUAACGCACAAGUUAAUAUGUUGAAAUUGACUGACUUUAUGUAUAGGAAAGCAUUGAGUAGCAAAUAUAUUAAGGGAAUUUAGAAUCAUCUCUACAAACUCACUCCUUCGGCAUACAAAUUAGAGUUUUAGUCCAGAAGUGGGCUUCUGAAGCAAUAUAACUUCCCAAUUCAUUUCUCAGAACUUAAAUAUCCUCAGAAUUUUAUAAGAAGUUAAUAACUUUCCAUGGUCCAUGAAACCUCAAAUGCUAAUUCCAUUUUCAAAUGGUAAAUGGCACACAAAGUAUUUGAUAACAAGCUGCUACUUCUUAAAAUUUUCUUUCAUACUGUCAUAAAAAAGCCUAAAGAACAGAGAAAUCAUCCUUUUCUGAAACAUAAACAAUAAUGACUCCAGAAAGCAAAAUACCCACUGUCCAAGUCAAAUCAAUUAAACCAUGAAAUCACCUUAACCAGAAGAAGCUUGGAAGGAUUCUAAGGCCAGCCCUCAUCCUCAUUCUCCAAGAAAUGGUCAGAACCUUUCUUGUCUUAAUCUUUUUCCUUAAGUCAUACUAGUAAGAAUUUAUUAUGCCAGUGAUCACAGGAUUUUAAAAAGUUCCAGACAAUAAUUACUAAUAUUAAUAUUUUCAAACCUAAAGAAUCACUAAAGUCCUUGAGCAUAUGAUUUCCAACCUAAAAUCCAUCACAUAACCAUUUAAAUCUACUUCGUGUUGGCCUGACCGCUGUGAAGCUAUUCCCUUACUCAGGCUGUAGAGAGCAGUUAAUUGAAUCUAUAACUUUGGUCUCCAGGCUUUAAUCCCCUACUCAACUUUCUUAGUCAAGUGACUAGUACAAUUUACAUUGUUCUGGUAAAAUAUUAACAGAAUCAACUUUGGAGAGAAUCCAGGACUUAAAACCAGGUUCAAAUCCUGUCUUUGCCACUAACCAAAUAUGUGCCCUAGAGCAAAUAAUUUAAUUUCUCUGGGCCUGUUUUUUCAUUUUUAAAGUGGGGGUAAUCAUUACCUACUUCAAGGAUUGGUAAAGAUGAGGUGAGGUGAUCCGUUUCCUGUGCUGGGCACUCAGUAAGCAUUCAACAAAUAUUUGAAGUUCCUCAUCAACAAUUUUUUUUUAAUUUUCAAUAUACACCAGGCUCCAUGCUAAUUGCUGCAGCUACAACAGUGAGAAAGACAGAAACGAUCUCAUCCUGAAUGAUAUUCAAGUAGAGAAUAGCAUAGAAAGCCUACUAAUACAAUAAUUACAAACAGCGAUGUGUUAUGAUGGAAACAAACAAGGGCUGAAAUCGAGAACACAGAGAACAAGGGAAGGAAGAAGACCAAGAAAGCCUUCUCCAAAGAAGUGGCAUUUAAGCUAAUAGCCAAAGGAAGACAAGGACCUGGCCAUGCAAAAAGAGGAAGGGUGUUCACGGCAGAGAAAACAGCAAGUAAAAAAGCUCUGAGAAAGUCCCCCACUGCCAACUGAGAUGGAGUCCAGUCCUCCCUGCCCAAAGACAAAAAGACAAAGGAUGACAGCUUGCACUGGAGCAGUCAAGCUGGGGAGAAGCAGAGGAAGACAUCUGUCUACCUGUGGAAUCAAGGGUCACUGUCAGUUCCAGAGCGUUCAACCCAGACCUACCAUCCUCUUGGCCUCAGUGACUGGCUCACUUGAGCCAAUCAGACCAACCAGCGACAAUAUUGGGCAUUUUGUUUGAAUGAUUUGGAAGAGGUCCUCCCUCUUUCUCAUUGUGCUUGAUGCCACGAGGAUGCAGAGGGUGGAGCAAUAGCAGUCAUUUUGGCCCCAUGAGGGAGAGACUGAAGCUGCCAGGGGAUACCACAGGGGCCUGAAAUGAAGCCAAGACUGAGAGAAGAGAAAUCAUAUCCUGAUGACAGCAUGAGAACUUGGGAUCCAGCCAUUCUUGAAGCCAAGGUCUAGCGCUAGACUUUUCAAUUAUAAGAACCAAUAAGUUUCUCCUUUUUUUUUUUCCUUAAGCCAGCUGGAAUUAGGGUUUUUUGUUUGGUUUUUGUUUUAGUCAUUUGCAACUGGUAGAGUCUUAACUGAUAAACAAGACCCUGACAGCCUAAUGAUGACAUAAGAAAUACGCAGAAAUUCAACUGCUCAACUGCCCUUCUCAGUCAUAUGCCAAGUGUGUCCCCUUUCUUCAUAUUUCUAAUUCCUUGUUCAUAGGGCUUCAGUAACCCUGUUAAAGGGUGCAAUUCAAUCAAUGCACUUCUGAUAUAUCAAAUAAUAAUGCCUUUUAUAUGUAUCAUCUACAAAAUUCAUUUUAUGUAUAUUUUUUAAAUCCAAACAAACAACACUAAAGGAGAUAGUAGUCACAGUUUAAUGACUAAGAACUAACUAAAAUGUUUUAAAGUUUACUUGGCACUAAGACCUCAUAGCUAGAAAGCGGUAAGGAACAGGUCUUCAUUAUUCUUAUCUUUAUGUCUGUUAUUCUUUUCAUCAUACCACAAAUAUUGUUAUCUUCAAAAGUAUAAUUGGCUGUAUGUAUAAACAAGACAUAAACAUUAAGCAGAUUAAGAGAUAUAAGACUUUUUU
Molecule: long non-coding RNA, 4348 nt
Organism: Homo sapiens (human)
Lineage: Eukaryota; Metazoa; Chordata; Mammalia; Primates; Hominidae
Exons: 3
Source: RefSeq, a predicted model, not a curated record